ACCUCCAAGCAGGGAGCUGUUGGCUGCAAGAGAGAGAGAGAGAGAGAAGGUCAGUGUAGAGCAGCUUGGGGACAGGGGGCUGUGGGGACGGGGGGGGGUGGCCCAUCAGAAGCCUGUGCCCUCAGGCUCUAGGCACAGGGCCUCCCAGCCCGAGGAGGGACAGAUGAUGGUGGACAGGAGAGGGGCCAGGAGUCCUCCCCCAUGGAGGCUCCCAGUGGACCUGAGGUUAGUAGGGUGACAGCGAUGGGGACACAGGCCCCGGCUCACCCUGAGCAGCUGCACAUGGGUGCAAGUGACAAGUGCCAAGGGUCUUGCCAGGCACCGUCCGUUCACCCCCAGUGUCUCCCGAGGCCCUUCAGAGGCUGGCCUGACGCAGGGUGGGAGGACAGGGAAGCCCUGCUCCUGCCCAGAGGUCCACCAGGGACACAGACUGGAAGCCACCAGGAGCAGCUGUGCCGCUGCACAUGUGGUGGGUGCUGCCUGGGAGCCACCAGGGCCGGCUAGGCCCAGGGAGGGAGGAGUGUCCUUGUCCGCCUCGCCACGUGGGAUCAGGUGGGUCAGCCCCCUCCUGGGGUUGGGGUGAAUGUCGAGGGACACGGAGCCCCCUGCCUGGACGAGAGCAGACCACCAGGCAGAGCAGGUCUGAAGGCCUCCACCUUCCAGAGUAGCCCGGCCCACCCGCCUCUGCUGGGCUGGCUGUCUCCUCCUGCCUUCACCAGGAGACUGGCAGCCCCUCCUCCGGAGUGGCAGGGCUGGGCUGGUCAGUGCCCCCAGCCCGGCCUGGCCUCCCCCUCCUGGUCCCACAGAGUGCCUCUGUGCUAAGCAGGGGACGCGGUGCCAGGGAGCAGGUCCAGUGAGCAGGCCCCAGGUGGGGAGGCCAGCCGGGCCUCAGCCCCGGGCUCAGGAGGCCUGGCUCUGUGUGGGGCCUGGUCCGUCCCCACCUCACGGCCAGGCCUGGGGGCACCCUUGCGUGAGGCUCCCCCGGCUCUGGCCCCGGGGCCGUGUGCGGAAGCGGUGGACGCUGCUAAGUGGUGUCGGUGGCUCCGAGUGGCUGGUCUCCCAGACCUGACAGCUUUUCGCUUGGGGAAUAAUUAAUUCCACAGCCUGAAACCCAGGGCUGCAAGACACCACGUUACUGCGAGAUUAAUACAAGCAGCUAAUUAAGAUGGAGAGGCGAGGACGGCCCCGCGCUCCCAGAACAGGAGCGGGGCCGCGGGAAGGCAGGGGCCAGUCAGGCCAAAGCGGCCGCGGGGGCGCAGCAUGGUGGCCCCCAGGGGCUGUGGGCAGGCUGUGGGGGGCUGGCUCCCGGGGCGCUGGAGUGGCCUGUGCCCCAGGAAUGCACAUCUCCGCCCCCGCUGGGGAGAGCGUCUUUCCAGGUGCAGACUGAGUGCUUGGCACAGGCGACCCCAUUUCCCAUCACGGCUCGGCCACGGGCAGGGGCUGCUGUUCCCAAUUUACAGAAAAGAAGACCAAGGCCCGGAGCGGUCCCAGUGGUAGCAGCAGGGUCAGCGCUGGGUCUGACUGACUCCAAGCAGGCAGACCCCAAGGGGGACUGUCAGGGCGGACUGUCUCCACCCUUGCCAGGCCUAGGUCCUGCCUCUGCCAAGUCCUGUCCAACAAGCGGUGGGCCCUGCCACAUGCAGCCUUGACCCUGCUCCUGCCCCAGCAGAUCUGACCGCAGGGAUGGGGGCGGGGCCGCUGGGCAGCUCUGCCCAGGAGCCAGCUGGAGGACAGUGCAGUUGGGGGCCCAGGUCCCGCUCUGGGCUCCCCCGGCCCCAGGGGCUGUGCCGGCGGCUGGCAGAAGCUGCCCUCCGUGGCCUCGCUCACCUCCCCCAUCACCUCUCGCUCUUAAUUAACACGGCUGCAAACGAGCUGGCUCCUGCUCAAAGGGGAUGCAGAGCCAGAGGGGUUGGCAGCCAGCCCUGAAGAGACAGGAGGGGGGCGCUGACCUGCUGUUCUGCAGGCCCCCGUCAGGGGAUGGCCAGGCCGCCUGCCCGCACCCAGCCCCUCCUGGGUGGGCUUGGCCUCCGGCAGCCAGCAGGUGACCUGCUGAGGCCGCCCAGCCAGGGGCAGAGCAGGGAGUGGGCCUCUCCAGGGGAGGCCUCCACCAGGUGGUCGAGGCCAGGCCAGGUGGCCUUAUCCGCCACGGGUGGGAAGGGGUAGGGAGGCCCAGCACCGGGGUCCCCGUGGUCAUGGGCAUCCUGGGGGCCAGUCUGUCGUGUCCCUUCUGCCAACCUCAGAUGGCCCAUGGGUGAGGGUUCUGGUGUCCUUGGCUGGUUCCCUGAGGCUCCAUUCUCCUCUCCCCAGGGACCUUAAUGACCAGCCAGCCACACGAGCCCCAGAAGGCUGUCCCCAGUCCCCCAGGGGGCCAGGCUGUCCAAGGGAAAAGGCCUGGUGGCUUCAGGAGGACAGCUGAGAAGGGCACAGUGUCGACAGACUCAGGAGGUGGUCCCUGGGUGUGGCUGCCACCCUGAAGCAGGGCGGCUCCGGGCGCUGUAGCUCCCAGACGCGGGCCUCUGGAUGCCCUUCCCGCCUCACCGGCCCCUGGGCCCCCUCUGCCCCCCAGGCUUUCCUCAGUUUGGAGGCUUUAAUCACAGCUGGACCUCCACCCUUUUUUCAAACGGGGAAACUGAGGCUCCAGGGGGACAGGGAAGGGGAGGAGGUGGGCUCCGCCCAGGAGGGCUGCCUGUCACGGCCCAUUUUCUUAACCCUGCACACUUCCCAUCUGAAAGGAGGCAGGGGACAUGUGACCAGCCAGUCCACUCCAGGGCCCAGACCUGACCCCAGCAAACGGGUCUGUGUGUGUGUGGAUCAAACCACGGCCUCACGCGUGCUGGGCAAGGGCUCUACCACUGAGUUUUGCCCCAACCCCCUUUUGAUUUUUAUCUUGAGAUAGCCUCUUACUCUGUUGCAGAGGCUGGCCUCGAACUUGUGAUCCUCCUCCCUUACAGGUGUGCACCGUCACACCCAGCAGUCACUUGAAUUUUAAGAUCCAAAACUGAAGAGUCAACUUGCAGAAAUAGGUAUUUGGUUUAUUGUGUUCAAAUCAGUGUUUUGAUCAGAAAUUCAUAUUCAGUAAUAAGAAUAAACAAAAAUCAAUUUGUGGGGUUUUUGUUUUGUUUGGUACUGGGGAUCAAACCCAGUGACACUUAACCACUGAGUCACAUUUUCUAGCCCUUUUUAUUUAUUUAUUUAUUAUUAUUUUUUUAAAGAGUGUUACUUUUUUUUUUAGAGAGAGAGGGAGGUAGAGAGAGAGAGAGAAUUUUAAUAUUUAUUUUUUAGUUUUCGGCGGGCACAGCAUCUUUGUUUGUAUGUGGUGCUGAGGAUCAAACCCGGGCCGCACGCAUGCCAGGAGAGCGCGCUACCGCUUGAGCCACAUCCCCAGCCCCCUUUUUAUUUUUUAUUUUGAAACAGUCUUGCUAAGUUGCUGAACUUGCAAUCCUCCUGCCUCAGCCUCCCUCCCAUGAGGCUGGGAUUACAGGCAUGUGUCCCUGUGACAGGGCCACAUUAGUUUUUAGCUCCUGCAGCACUAGCGGUUGGCUCUGCCCAGAAUGCUCCAGUUCUGAUCUGCAAGAAUAUGUAACAACUGGCAGAUUCUAGAAGCAGAGUCCUUUGAAAAUUAUUUAGCAAGAUGAACAGCCUACUCUCCAAAUAAAGAAAGACUGGGCGUUGGGCAUGCACCUGUGUUCCCAGCUACUUGGGAGGCUGAGGCAGGAGGAUCACUUGAACCUAGGUGUUCCAAGGCCAAUCUAGGCAACAUAGUGAGACCCUAUCUUCAAAUAUGAGCUCGUGUGGUGGCACAUGCCUGUAAUCCCUGCAGCUCUGGAGGCUGAGGCAGGAGGAUCACAAGUUCAAAGACAGCCUCAGCAAUGGCGGAGGCUCUGAGCAAUGCAGUGAGAUCCUGUCUCUAAAUGACAUGCAAAAUAGGGCUGGGGAUGUGGCUCCCUGGUCAAGCACCCCUGGGUUCAAUCUUUGAUACAAAAGAAAAAAAAUUCCGGGUAAUUGGCUAAUGACCAGGUGCUGAGGGAAAAAAAACACCCAUUUUGAGCCUUAAGGCGACCCCCGGGCAACCUGUUUCAUAUGUAUUUUCAUUAAAGACUGAAAAGGAAUAAGCCCUCUGUCCUCAAUUUUGUCCAGGAGCAUAAAUUUCUGAAGAGAAGCACUGCGUCUCAAUCAUCACAAACAACAUAUUCAAAUUUCUAACCGCCAUUGGUAUUUUUUUUUUGGCUGAUAACUUGAAAAUGCAAUUCUCUGAAAUCUCGGAAUUUACAAAGACUGGACAGCAAAAGCAAGCUGUCCCCAACAAGAGGCACCCAGGGGGAUAGAUCCAGAAUCCUGGGGGCUGCGGCUGGGGCUCGGUGCACUGGGUUCGAUUCUCAGCACCGAAUAUAAAUAAAUAAACUAAAAACAAAAAAAUCUAAAAUCCUGAUUAAGGACCAGACAGAAAUGACCACUACCACUGCCCAGCAGAGCUAAGGAACCCUUGGCCAUGGUUAUGGUCACUAGUGCACAUUUGAGAUUAGGCUGAAAGGUCUAACCGGCCACCCUCUUCAUGCCAGUUAUACCUCUAAGGAGUCCGCGUGCUGAAUGGCGACCACUCUGGUGCCGUGGACAGGUGGCCCCUCCUCGGCAGGUGGCUCCACGGCCCCCUCUACCUUUCAGCCGGGGUCUUUGGCCUCCGGGAGGGGUGCAGUGAGCCUGGUGAGGCUGACUCGGAGCCCUGGGGAGGCUCAGGGCUUGCUCAGGUCGGGUGGGGGGCAGGUCUCCACCUGGCACCCCACCUUGAGGCUCUGGAGGUGCCCCACCAUCCCCACAGGGUCGAGGUGGUCCCCUGCCUGGGAUGCGACCCUGGCACACCUCCCUGGGCUCCAUUAGCUGGCCCUGAGCCCAGUGCUGCCCCUGUGACGUUGACGUGCCUUGGAUGCCAGUCAUUGCUGCCACACAUCCUCUCGGGCCCCUCCCGCCACCACCUGCUGCUCCUGCAGUGCCCUCCACCAGCCCCCCUGCCCCUCUGCCCGUGCCACCCCUUCCCAAGCCCAGGCCCAGGCCCAGGCUCCCGCUGUCCCUGGCCCUGGUGGCUGUCACCGGCUCUGGUGGCUGUCCCGGGGGAGGGCAGGGCGAAGUCUCCCCAGUUUGUGCCCCAGCUCCCGGCCUAGUUAGGACCUGGCAGGUGGCCACUGCCCAGUGCAAGGGAGACAGCUAGACCCAAGUGCUUGGCCACUGUCACUAAAGGUCAGAGGAAGCCCGGGAACAAAGGCGACACAGGCCCCUACUUCACUCUCUACACGAAGCCCUUUAAUUGAGUGCCAACUGUGUGCAGGGCUGUGCUGGGCUCAGACCCGGGCAGCCCAGCCCCUGGGCCUCGCAGCCUCAAGCCUGGCAGGAGGGAGGGGAAGGGUCGGAGAGAGGUCUGAGACCCUGAGGCCUGGACUCGGGAGGCAGGGACAGGGGCCAGAGGAGCCUUGCUUUUAACAGAGAAAAAAAAUAAGUUUCUAGGUCAAAGAAAAUAUUUUAAAAAACAAGAUAAAUAUAUUUGUUUUAUACCAACAAAGGCACAAAUUAUCAGGGUUUUUUUUUGGGUGGGGAUAGUAGGAAUUGAACUCAGGGGCACUCGGCCACUGAGUCACAUCCCCAGCCCUAUUUGGUAUUUUAUUUAAUGACAGGGGCUCCCUGAGUUGCUUAGGGCCUCACAUUGCUGAGGCUGGCUUUGAACUCUCGAUCCUCCUGCCUCAGCCUCCCGAGUCGCUGAGAUGACAGGCGUGUGCCACCAUGCCUGGUUUAAAGUAUCGUUUAUUAACGGCUCUUUUUUAUUUUCAUUUUUUGGUGCUGGGGAGGGAACCCAGGGCCUUGUGCAUGCGAGGCAGGCACUCUACCAGCUGAGCUACGUCCCCAGCCCCUUUAACAGCUCUUUAAGGGAGGAAGGGCCACGGAGGCACAUGCUGGGCCUGGGCCCGUGAGUUCACCUGAUGCCCACCCUGUCUGGGGGACACCCAGGGUGCUCAGCCACAGAGGGCAACCUGCUCCCCAGGAAAAUCCCGACCACUCCGACUUCACCCUGGCUGCCCAGUUAAAACCGUCCUGGGCCUGGGGUGUGCGGGGCCCUGGGUUCCCCCCCAGCCCCACAAUCAAUCAAUCAAUCAAUCAAUCAAUAGGUUGAUAUUUUAAAACAACAAAAGUCCUUGAGACCCUCAGUGGGAAGGAGUUUCCUGUUUUCUCUCAGGACAGUGGCCACCAGCCUUCCCCCGGCCUGUGGGUACCUCUGUCCCCUCCCCCUUCUGCCUGGCCCUUCCUGGCAGGGAGGACUACAUCCUCCAGGUGGUAGGGGGAGUGGGGGUGCUGAGGGGAGGCCGUGGUGCAGUGACCCGAGGAAAGCGCUGAGCAGGUUCCAGGGCUGGGAGCGCUGGGCGGCCAGGGGUGACCUUGCAGCCGGCCAGCCCCUCUGCGUGUCCCUGGAGGCUCCUUCCUCCUGGCCCUGCCUGUGGCUCCACACACCUCCCUGGCUGCCGGGACAGCUAGACAGGCGCUGGGCUGCUGCCCUCGGUCCCCAGCCCCUGGCCUGGCCGCUUCCUCCCGUGCCCCUGGGAGCCCGGGCUCAGCUCCUACCAUUUGACAAUGCGCACCCUGCCCCUGGUGUGGGGCGCUGGGACACAGACAGCAAGGGCCUCCUGGUCCAGGAGGGGGACAAAGACAGCAAAAUCAGUACAGCUGAAACCAGUGUCACUAAUGCGGAGGCUGUGAAGGAGAGGAGAGGAGCUGGCGGUGGGGCCAGUCCCAGAGGGGUGAACAGGGGCCAGCCCGGAGGAGCAUGCGCCAGGCAGGCAUGGCCGUGCAGGGGUCCUGAGGCAGGGCCCCCUGUGGCUGAGGCAGAGUGAGGGGAGAGGAGGGCUGCGGGGACAGGAGUGGCCCAUGCCAGGGAGCCUUUGUGAGAGAGGGAAGGUGCUGGGGGCCCCCACUGCCCCUGACCUGCCCUGAGCCUGGCUCCCCGUGGGAGUCCCUGACAGUCCUCCUGACAGCCAGGGAGGCGGCUAUCCAUCCCCUGCCUCCCGCAGCCCAGGUGGGACUGUGGUCCCCGGAUCCCGUGGUCCCCGAGUCCCGUCCUUUCACACAGGCUUCAGAGGAGGAGCAGCCCGUGGCGGAAUCGAACGUGAGACGUGCUGAAUUCUGAAGGUAAAACCAGAGACUCGGAGGCCUCCCAGCUGUGAGAGCAGCGGCCUUGUUUGACAAGCCGCGUCCCCCAGGCUGAGGUCACUGUCCCUGGUGGUGAGUGUGCUCAGGUGGGAAGCGGGGGGCUUGCUGGACACUCUCCUGGCUUGGGAGGGGACAGGGAGCGGGGGCCUCAGGGUACUCAGUGUGUCCCCAGCGAGCUUCACCAUGGAGCCCCAGGAUCCUCUCAACACACCCGCCCGCCUCAUUCCCAGGGGUAGAAACUGAGGUCCAUACAGAUGAAAUGACCAUGGGCCUCCGGAGCAGCCAGUGCACCACGGCCUUGGCCCAGUGGCUCCACCUCCCAGGACCUUGGUGUCCCCUUCUGGGAAUGGGGAGGUCGCUUAACUGAGGCCUUUCUGAGCCCCAGAUGAUAAAAUUAAAAUUGCCGUAAAACCGUCACGGCGGGGAGGGCCUGUCUCAGUGAGUUUUCUGUUGCUGUAACAAAGUACUCGAGCCGGGCGCGGUGACGCCCGCCUGUGGUCCUAGCAGCUCAGGAGGCUGAGGCUGGAGGAUCACAAGUUCAAAGCCAGCCUCAGCAACUUACUGAGACCCUGUCUCUAAAUAAAAAAUAAAAAGAGCCGGGGAUGUGACUCAGGGGGUAAGAGCCCCUGGGUUCAAUCCCUGGUACAAAAAACAAAACCCAACAAGAUGCCUGAGUCUAGGGAAUUCAUGAAGAAUAGAGGUCCACUGGCUCUCAGUUCUGGAGGCUGGGAGGUCCAGGGCCAAGGCAUGGGUACCGCGAGGAACCUUCAUCUCCUCCCAAAGGCCUGCCUUGGAAUACUAUCCCCGUGGGAAUUAGUUUCCAGCACGUGAACUUUGGGGGGACACACUGAAGUCACUGGGCCUGGCUGUGGCGAUGGACAGGGAGCCCGAGGCCCAGGCAGGAGGAGGCUGGGGGCGUGGGUGUGGUCACCAGCCUUUGGGGAGCCAAGGGCGUGCAGGGCCAUUUCACAGCCAGGGCUGGCCUGAGGCCACCUGGGCAGGGGACGCGAUGGGAUCUGGACUCUGUGGGUCUGAGUCGGAGCUGGACUUCUUCGGCCCUGGCUGGCUGCCCCCCAGGGCUCGGCCCCUGCCUCUCCUCUGAGGGCAGCUGGGGUCGACGCUGGGGGCAUCCCUUCCUGGACUCUCCUUCCAGUGACCUCAUUCCAGACCCUUCCCUUCCCCUGCACCUCCAUCACCCUCCCUCCGCUCUGCACCCACCCUGGCUCCCCAGGCCCCACCCCUGGCCAUCCUGAGGGCUCCCGCCACACAGCUGUCCCUGCAGAAGCUGCCCAGCCAGUCAUUUAGCUCAAGGAGGUGACUUGGCUGUGGUCUCCUGAGACAGGGACUCUCUGUCCCCUUCCUGCCUGGGUUCCUUGGGCUCUGCCCCUGAGGGGCCCCUGGAGACCCAUCUCCUGGCUGGGACACCCAGCGGGACCCCAAGCCCCCGGAGACCCAGAGAUCCCCUGGACACGGCUCUCCGCCCGGCUCUGGGCACCUUCCACACACUGGCGUUUGGUUACGCAAGAAAUUCAGAUUCAUUGCCCCAAAUUGGAUAAUACACAUAAACAAACAGCGAGAGGAAAGUGAGUCACCCUGUCGCUCAGCAGGCAGCGCCGGCCUGUCACACUUCGUCCCCGUCCCCGCAGGAACUCUUAACUUUCAACCAAACCAGAAACUGGCUACUGGGGCUUUGACCCAGCACGUCGGUCCCCUGUCCCCUGUGCCUGGCAUUGGGCCAGGGGUGUGGGGUGGACCAGGAGCCCGAGGAGGGGGUCCUAUUAUUUUGGCCACUUGGUAGAUGGGGAGAGGUUCAGAGGUCCAGCAUCCCUCCCACCAGUGGCUUGCUCAAGGUUACCCGGCUGCCAAAGCUGGGGAGCUGGGCUGGGGUCAGGCACUGGCCUCCCAGAGUCCAGAGCUCGGUGGGCCAGGUGCUGUGGGACCCCCGCUGCUGCUGGGCUUCCCCUCCCCCAGGAGCCAGGGCAGGCGCUCAGCAUCCCGCCAUUAGCAUAUCCAUGAGCAUCCCUGAAACCCAAUUACCCAGAGGGCUUGGGCCCCAGCCAGCCGUCCUGCCAUCUCUGCAGGAAGAGGGGCCGGGGCCCUGGCAGACCGCUGGGGGAGAGUGCAGGUAGGGAACCCGGGGGCUGGGGAGGGCCUGCUGGUGGCUGUGGACCCCACCCCUGCCCAGCGUUGGGCGGGCGGCCUCCUCUGCCCAGCUGCAGCGGGGUGGGUCCUACUUCCCCAAGGAGGCACCCUGGGUUCUGCUGCCCCCUCCAGCGUCCCCUCCCACCUGGCAGCCCCUCAGCGCCCCCCCCCCCAGCUCCUGGGACUCUUUUCCACUUAUUUCUUACAUAGAAAAGCGCGUGUAUGUACAGAUGUGAGCGCUACGGUCUGCAGGUCCCCCCAGCUCACGUGCUGGAAGCUUAACCCCACAUUUCACGUGUGGAUGGUGUUUGGAGGUGACCCUUUGGGAGGUGAGGAAGGCUCGAUGAGGUCAUGAGGGUGCCCCCCACCCCCAUGGCAUGGGUGGCCUUCUGCGAAGUGGGACCUGAGCUGGCCUGGUGCUCACGCGGUGUCCUGCGCCAGGCUGUGCUGCAGGAAGAAGGCCCUGAACAGACACACCCAUGCCGCCGUCCUGGGCUUCCCAGCCUCCAGAACCAGAACCGCGACCCAAGGACCCAAGAAACCUUUAUUCUUUGUCAGUCACCCCGGCUCAGGCGUUCACUUAGAGCAAGGAAACGGCCCAGGGCCAGCCUGAAGGCCAGCGACAAGGCAGCAGAUUUGUCCACCAGGCCCACGCCGCUCACCCAGGCUGGAACGUUCCAGGGUGAGGCAGCCCCACGCCCGGCGUCCUGUCCUUUCUCUCCCGACCCAUGGACAGGUGUGCCCAGCUUCGCCUCCUGCGGGCAACGGCGUGUCAUCCGUGCACGUCUGUGUGCACAUGUGCCGGCGUUUCUCUGGGAGCAGGUUGCAGGGUUGUGGUAUAUGCACAUCUUUACUGGUUAUUGCCAAAUUGCUCUCCAAAGUGGUUGUUCAGAUGAUCGUUUUAAAAUAUAAAUUAGAUCAUGUCACUUCCCUGAUCAAAACUCUCAAAUAGCUUCCUAUUAUACGUAGAACAAAAUCCAUAUUCCCCUCCACGAACACCCGGCUGCGUUCCAAAGUCUGCUCUCCCCUCCCCCGCAACUUUCUGGCCUCCUUUUUUUUUUCUUUUCUUUUUUUAAAUGGCCCUGGCUUUCUCAUGCCCCAGGGCCUUUGUACAUACUGUUCCCUCUGUCUCACACACUCUUCUUUUAGCUCUUUCCAAACUGGCUCCUUCUGAUCUUUCAGGUCCCAGUGAAAAUGUUACCUCCUCUAAGGAGCCUCCCCAGCCCACCCAGUUGAAGUAUCUGCCUAUUUCUGUCAUCACUUCCUUUGGAGUCCACAGCAUGGUUCUAUAAUGAUCUUUUACUCUUUGCCUGCUGGUUUAUCAUUAAUUGGCCUGGCGGCCUAUGGCAGGAGGGCCUCAUCUGCCUCAUUUCCUCCUGGAUUCCAAAGGCCAGCAUGGGCCUGGCACCCAAGGGCUAUUCUUAGGACCACUUAUCCGUUCAAUAGACCUUGCUUCAGCCACCAUGUCUGGAGCGGUGGAUGACAAUGUGCCUGGUGUGUGGGGGGGUGGGCUACGGGAGAGGGGACACAGCAGAGGGGAGUGCGCUGAGUUGAAGGUAGGGUCAGGCCCACGGCCUGUGUGGAACCUUCCCCACGGCCAUGGGGAAUCAUGAAAGGUGCUGGAGCCAGGAGCAGCGGGGUUGACUUGCAUUUUAGAAGUGAGAGGGGCAGUGAAUUGCAGGAGGUGGUGGCUAUGUGCACAAAACACUGCCCACGGCUUGAGUGGGAGGUGGACACCAGGAGGAUCCUCCCUGGACCCCAGCAAGGCCCCCUCGACUGAACCCCCCCCACCUCGUACAGCUGGGAACUGAGACCCUAGGAGGAGAGGAACCCGAAGCAAGAUGCUGAGGGUCCUCAAGUGGGAGUCCCCCCCUGCCCUGGACAGCCAUCUGACCCCUCCAGGGUCUUGUCCUAUGGGGACAAGAGGGCAGCCCAGCGGGGUCCCUGCUCUGCCCACCGCAGGGACCCCCUGGCUCGGGUAUCCUCUCCUCUCUGCCCUCCUGCCCUCCCAGCUUGGGCUCCGCACGGGGGAAGGAGAGGGAGGAGGAGGCUGGCCGUGGCCGCCAUUGGUAUGCGAGGCCCAGCCUCGGCCCUCAGCGGCCCAACCUUCCUGCUCGGCUCUUUAAGAAUCCCUCCUCGGAGCUGCCGCGUGGUGGUUGCCGGGCAACCACAUCCCGCCCCGCCCCCACGGCUGGCGCUGGCUCCCUCCCCUCCCCCUCCCCGGCUCCUCCCUCCCCGCCCGCCUCAGCGGCGCCCGGGCCUGGGCACCUGGGCCUGCAGGUGAGGGGCUGGGGGUGAGCCCGCCCAACCUGGCCCCUGAGCAGGCUCAGUACCCCCGGAUCUGGAGAGGGGGACCCGGGCUUAGCACAUCCUUGCUCAUCACCCUGGAGCCCCCCGUGGGGCAGGUGGAGACUGGGGGAGGGUUCCAGAAGACGAUGUCUCUUUCUUCCCCAGAACUCUGGGAGGGGACCUGGGCUCAGAAGCCCAGUCCUGAUUCCCAUCCCCUCCCGGGGCUCGGUCUUGAGUGGUUUCUGCUGCCCUGCAGAGGUGGGGGGCUGGGGAGGCUGGGGGAGGCCCAGGAGGUGCCUGAGUCCCAGCGCAGGUGAGGGGAGAGGGCCCUCUCUCUGCAGCCCCCGGCCGGGCUGGCUGAGCUGGGCCCUUGGACCCUGGCAUGAGGCCUAGAGAGCCCCAGGGUCCUGGGGAGACUGAGGCAGUAGCCAUCUUGGACAGGGACAGGGACAGGAUGGAGAGGGAGGAGGUGAGGACCCUAGAGGCUCUGGGUCCCUGAAGAACCCCCCAGCCCCUGGCCUCACCCUCCCCUUCCCUCUGGCCCUCAGGGGGAGCUCCCGAUCUUGGGCUGACACCCCCCCCACAGCCCGCCUCGCCCUUGCUGUCCAGCUCCCAUGCUGUCCCUCUCGUGGCUGGCCUUCGAGGCAGAAUCCACAUUUCCUCCUGUGGAGGGUGUGUGAACCGGUGCACGCUGGCCAGUCAAGAAAGCCGAGGUCUCCACAGAAGCAAGUCCUCUCCUGGGGAUAAUGGCUGGGCAUCUGGAAGGCGUGGGGACAGGGGAGGUGGUAUCACUGGUGGGAAGAAGAGGAGGCUCACAGGGGGAAGGAGGGGCCCAUGAGAAAGGCUCGGGACCCACAGCCCAGUCCUGCCGCCUGGAACCUCCUUCAGGUGGCAAGGUCCCGCCUGUCUGUCCCUCUCUGGAGGUUUCUCCCCACCAUCCAGGGGCACCUGUUGGUCUUGGUCUCUACCCCCCACCAGCCGAGACCCCACCCUGCCCUCUCCCCAGGAGCUGUAAAUGGGUCUGGCCUCUCUCUGAGACCCUGGAACCAUCAUUCUGGGGGAGUUCCCAAUUUUAGGAGUCAUGGCUGGCCUUGGGACAGCUCUGUCACUGUGACUCGCCUCAGUGUUAUAGUCAUUCACUCAGUAAUGCUGGGCUAUGCUCUCCCCAUGCACAGGGCUGUGUGGCAGCUGCUGGGGACACAGAGGGACCAAAACAGAUCCUGGCUGUGACUUCCCAGUGCUGGAGGUCAGGUGGAAGAGACGGGCACUAACCAGACACACAUCUGGGGUACAGACCCCCGUCCUAAGUCACGUGCUGUUUUACAUCUGUCCCAGGAGGAAGCCACCCCCUGUGAAAUCAUCAGCCAUGCCCUGAUUCCAGAGAGGGGCAAGUGGCGUCCAGUGGCUGAAAAAUGGAGUCCCACGAGUCAUGGGAAGUCACAAAUGAACUAAGAGCCACCAUCGAGAAGCAGGGAGCAGAGAGAACAAGCUGAAGGCGUGGUGUGGGUGUUUGUCCUCCCAAAUCCAUGUUGGAAUUUCAUCCCCAAUGCCAUAUGUUGAUGGCUUGGAGGGAGGUUUUGGGCAGGUAAUUAGGAUCAGAUGAGGUCAUGAGGGUGGGACCCCCAUGAUGGCAUUAGUGCCUCCUGCCUGUCUUCCUUAUGGUGGGCAGUCCUAGCCAGGUGGCACACAUCUGGAAUCCCAGGGACUUGGGAGGCUGAGGCAGGAGG
RNAcentral lists this long non-coding RNA (13346 nucleotides) under Marmota monax (woodchuck). Lineage: Eukaryota; Metazoa; Chordata; Mammalia; Rodentia; Sciuridae. The record is from RNAcentral.